Molecule: ribosomal RNA, 468 nt
Filed under: uncultured bacterium
Lineage: Bacteria
Description: partial 16S ribosomal RNA
Rfam family: Bacterial small subunit ribosomal RNA
Source: RNAcentral
GACGAACGCUGGCGGCGUGCUUAACACAUGCAAGUCGAACGGAAAGUCCCUGCUUUUGUGGGGUGCUCGAGUGGCGAACGGGUGAGUAACACGUGAGUAACCUGCCCUUGACUUUGGGAUAACUUCAGGAAACUGGGGCUAAUACCGGAUAGGAGCUCCUGCUGCAUGGUGGGGGUUGGAAAGUUUCGGCGGUUGGGGAUGGACUCGCGGCUUAUCAGCUUGUUGGUGGGGUAGUGGCUUACCAAGGCUUUGACGGGUAGCCGGCCUGAGAGGGUGACCGGACACAUUGGGACUGAGAUACGGCCCAGACGCGUAGGGGAGGCAGCAGUGGGGAAUAAUGCACAAUGGGCGGAAGCCUGAUGCAGCAACGCCGCGUGCUGGAUGACGGCCUUCGGGUUGUAAACCGCUUUCGCCUGUGACGAAGCGUGAGUGACGGUAAUGGGUAAAGAAGCACCGGCUAACUACGUG